AUGUUCAAGAUGGGGAAGAGAAAGGAAAUGAAUAAUUACGAGGAAUUGAAGAGAUGCAAAUUUCCCUUUGCUCUGGAGCUGCUGGUGGAUCAAGAUGCCUCUUUACAGAGGAUUUUGAUCCUGUUUAAUUUGCUUUACUUUCAAGUGAAGAAAGAAAAGGAUGUUGGAGGACAGGAAAACAUAAAGAGGCAAACAAAAGGAAUAAGAGGAAGAGAAAAAAAAAACUUCUUGCUACAGAAAAGAGCACCCUGCACUCCUUAUGAGAACACUUACCAUGCUGUCCCCCACCAGCCUGUGAGCUCCAUGGGGCCAAGGACUGCCCUGAUUUUCUUCACCAUUGUAUCCCCAGGGCAGAGCACAAUGCCUGGUAAGUAGUAGGUACUGGGGCUGUAGUGGUUGGAUUAAGUGAAUGAAUGGGUUAGAGUGGGAGAGGAAGAGUGUGUUCUAAGAACCACUGGGAUCUAUCACCUGUCAUCUUCCUGCCCACCCUGAACGUAGCCUCAGUAGAAGAGAGUAUAAUGAAAUAGCCAGUGGGCACAGAAAGAACUGCCCCUACAAUCCAGAGGAUGGCCUCAACAGUGGGGCCAGCCACUUCAGCAGCCAUGGGAGGUGGCACCCAUGUUCUCGUCAACAUUGGAUCUUUGGGUUUCUUCUGGGGCUUCAGUUCUGUGCGUCCUUGAGGCUUUGGGGCAACAGUGGCCUUAUCUUCCCAUCUCCCCAAAGUAGGCCAAAGCAGAGGGGAAGGGAUGGCCAACACCAAGCCAUAACUGGGUGCUGUUCAUGAGGACAUGUGGGUCUCUGCUAGGGCAUGACAGAGUUAGCCAGAAAAGCACUUGUUGGGGAGGGAAGGUCCACAUGAUCAUGCCAAGGGUUACUGUUUUGGGGGACACUGAAAAUAAGGCUUAGCUGGCAUGGCCUGGAGAAACCCAGACUUAACAUAAUUAUUUCUAAUUUGUCAUCCACCUUUCAAGGUUGGUUCUCUUUAUUAGUCUCACUUUGCUGGAGAGGAAAUGGAGCCGAGAAGGCUAGGUUGUUCGUCCUGGGUCACAAGGCUGAUGAUGCCAGACUCAGGGUCUGGUCCCCCACUGGCUGCCUCUGUCUGUGAUGCUGAUUCUGUUGACCUCAUGGCCCCCAAAGAAGACCUGGUGUGGGGGAGACAUAUGGGAAGCAGAAGAGCCCACCCAGGAGGCAACCACCCAGCUGAGGGAUGUGUCCUGGAAAGAUUAUACCAUCCUCGCCGAGUGUCUGAAAAGCAGACGCCGUUGGCUUGCCCUGGUGUUGUAGCCUCUGGGCAAAGUCUUGUCAGAAGAGAGUAUUUUGCAACCAGGAAGGCGAGAUAAGUCAUGCAUCUUGUGUGCCAAAGAAGAUUUGUGCCAGCUCUUCCCUUGCACAGAAACGGGAAAGCAGAGGAAUGAUUUGAGUAAUAAGUGCAUGGCUUCAGGUAUUACAAACAGAAGCAAUAAAACGGAUGCUUGGAGGAGUUAUCAGGGCACAAAGAGGCAGAAAUCCAAUUUAGGAGAUGAUGUCAAAUGGAAUAAAUCCAAAGUAAUUGGCGUGCUGAGCAUUAACCACCAUAAAGGGAAACCAUAACAUAUCUUGGUUAGAAAAUAUGCGGACGAUAAACACAAGCUGACUUACCGGCUGGGGAAAUAAUUAUUAUUUUCCAGAGAGGGCUAUAGUCAAGGCCUGUGCCUUCAGUGUAAUGCAUCUAAUAAAUAUUUGCCGAGAGUCCUCUGGUUUUGCGUGUUCUCGAUGCUUCGGCUGUGCCCGAGCUCCCAGGCGCCACUGGGCCGUUUGACACCCAGGCUCACGCUCAUACUGUUCAGCUUAGAAAGCAAAUAGGGUCAAUGGUGUUGAGGGGCAGGGGUGAACCAGACAUCUCUCAGGGAGAGAUGUGGAUUCGGGAGGCGUGACUCCAGCCUUUCGAGGACGGUGUCACGGAGAGGUCGCCCCUGGUUGAACACUGGGUUGAACAGAGGAAAGCUGGAGUCAUGGCAAGAGAAUCCCAAACCCCAGUUUCCUGUUUGAUAAUAAUCAAAAGAAACCACCUUACAGAUCUGCUUAAAACCUCAUCGUGUUCCACUUAAGAUGUUAUGUUCUAGGUUGAAAGAGAUUUUGUGAUGCACGGUUCUUGUCAGCUGUGAGUGGGCGCCGUCCAGAACAGCCUCAUCCCAGCUGUGGACCGAACAUUUGGAGACAGGAGCUAGUGAGGAAGGUGCCCACGGGCGAGAGGAACAGCUCCCGUCUGGAGUGCUGUGAAGUGCUCUGCUAAGAGCUUUUUGCACACUGUCCCCGUGUGGGAGGUUAUGAUUACGUUAGUCUGACAGGUGGUGCUGAGGCUCAGAGAGGUUAGUAACUUGCUCAAGGUGGCACAGCCAACAGUUCAUAGAGCUGGGAUGAGACUGAUCGCUCCACGCAGGGAUUUCCUCUCCCAGGCGGGGAGGCUUCAAAGCUAGGUAACUAGGGAAACAGGUCUUGUGUGUGCUAGUUAAGACCACAUCCAGUUCUGGAGUUUUCUUCUUUUUGGUGCUCUGCUUCUUCCCAGAGAUGGAAAUACCGCAGAUGUUCCCUGUGAUUUCCGGGACUCAACGAGCAUCCAUUGGACAAAGUGGGGGUUGGCCUAGGGGGAGGCCAGAGGGGCAGGAAGGGGGCACUUCAGUCCAGGAGGGCGGCGCAGACACGUCACUACAGCCGUGGGCUAAUCCAAUAAUCCUCCUGACAACCCCCGGCUUCCAGUC
This 2738-nucleotide long non-coding RNA is filed under the name Canis lupus familiaris (dog). RNAcentral's name for it is "lncRNA (ENSCAFG00040019866.1)". Lineage: Eukaryota; Metazoa; Chordata; Mammalia; Carnivora; Canidae. The record is from RNAcentral.